RNAcentral lists this ribosomal RNA (774 nucleotides) under uncultured Neocallimastigales. RNAcentral describes it as "partial large subunit ribosomal RNA". It matches the Rfam family "Eukaryotic large subunit ribosomal RNA", at positions 24 to 624 of the family's 3401-position model. The record is from RNAcentral. Lineage: Eukaryota; Fungi; Neocallimastigomycota; Neocallimastigomycetes; Neocallimastigales.
AUCUCUGUAGAGUCUGCAUAUCAAUAAGCGGAGGAAAAGAAACUAACAAGGAUUCCCUUAGUAACGGCGAGUGAAGCAGGGAAGAGCUCAAAUUUGAAAUCUUCAAGGUUUUACCUUGACGAAUUGUAGUUUAAAGAAGUGUUUUCUGUUGAAGUUUCGGUAAAAGUUCUUUGGAAUAGGACAUCAUAGAGGGUGAGAAUCCCGUAUUUGACCAUUAUUUUCAGCUGUGUGAUACACUUUCAAAGAGUCGGAUUGUUUGGGAAUGCAGUCCAAAAUGGGUGGUAAAUUUCAUCUAAAGCUAAAUAUUGGCGAGAGACCGAUAGCGAACAAGUACCGUGAGGGAAAGAUGAAAAGAACUUUGAAAAGAGAGUUAAACAGUACGUGAAAUUGUCAAAAGGGAAGCGUUUGACACCAGUGUUGUUUUCUCGAAAAUCAAUUAAAAAUGGCUUGAUUUUGUGUUGUAUUGACCUUAAAAGCUUUCUUCACUUUUUUCAUGUCUUUUUUAAUGCACUUUUCGUUUAACAAGUCAACAUCAGUUUCUUUUGUUGUAAAAGAGUCAUUGGAAGGUGGCUUUCACUUCGGUGAAAGUGUUUAUAGCCUUUGGCUUCUGCAAUCGGAGAGAUUGAGGUCUGCAGCGUAGACCCUUCGGGGCUAGAUACGUAGAUGCUAAGUUAUAGUUUUUUAUAGACAACUUGUUGACUAUAAUUAAUCAUGUAGCUUACUCGUUUGCGCUAUUUUACCUACGCUUAGGAUGUUGAUCUGUAGUGCGUGCGC